UAAGUCUGAUGUGAAAGCCCUCGGCUUAACCGAGGAACUGCAUCGGAAACUGUUUUUCUUGAGUGCAGAAGAGGAGAGUGGAACUCCAUGUGUAGCGGUGGAAUGCGUAGAUAUAUGGAAGAACACCAGUGGCGAAGGCGGCUCUCUGGUCUGCAACUGACGCUGAGGCUCGAAAGCAUGGGUAGCGAACAGGAUUAGAUACCCUGGUAGUCCAUGCCGUAAACGAUGAGUGCUAAGUGUUGGGAGGUUUCCGCCUCUCAGUGCUGCAGCUAACGCAUUAAGCACUCCGCCUGGGGAGUACGACCGCAAGGUUGAAACUCAAAGGAAUUGACGGGGGCCCGCACAAGCGGUGGAGCAUGUGGUUUAAUUCGAAGCAACGCGAAGAACCUUACCAGGUCUUGACAUCUAGUGCCAUCCUAAGAGAUUAGGAGUUCCCUUCGGGGACGCUAAGACAGGUGGUGCAUGGCUGUCGUCAGCUCGUGUCGUGA
This 488-nucleotide ribosomal RNA is filed under the name Lactobacillus gallinarum. RNAcentral describes it as "bacterial SSU rRNA". It matches the Rfam family "Bacterial small subunit ribosomal RNA", at positions 584 to 1070 of the family's 1533-position model. Lineage: Bacteria; Bacillati; Bacillota; Bacilli; Lactobacillales; Lactobacillaceae. The record is from RNAcentral.